Molecule: long non-coding RNA, 782 nt
Organism: Manis pentadactyla (Chinese pangolin)
Lineage: Eukaryota; Metazoa; Chordata; Mammalia; Pholidota; Manidae
Exons: 2
Source: RefSeq, a predicted model, not a curated record
GGCAAUCUCCUGCAGUUCCUCCUCAAUGGCUUUUCCUACUCCAACAGCAUACAUAGUUAUUCCUAAGGUACAGAGCAAAUUAAGAACAAGGUAGUUAAGAGUGUGUUCCCAGUCUGGAAGUUGUGUGUACUUUACCCAACAACAGCUAGAUGUUAAGUGGUGUGAUCUGAAGGUUCCAUGUCAACUUUCCUUUAUUUUUCCACCAUUUUUAUUUUGGCUCUAUGAACCCAGAGAAGGAUCCAGAGAGAGGAGGCAUCUAGGAGAAGCUGAGCAGCUAGUCCUCCAGCCUGUUGCUCAGUUCUGGGAUGGCUGUGUGCAGAAUGGGGCAUGGGAAGGACUGAGCAUGGAGAACCGGAAGAAACCUACUGCGAUCAUCCUGGUGCCCCACACCAGGCUGGUGACAGGUGGUCAGACUGUGGCUGUAUUUUGAAGGCAGAGCCUACAAGCUUUGAUGGCUGGGUAUGAAGAGACCAUCCUCUAUACAAAUAUGACAGAAGAGCCACAGAUGACUCUGAGGCCUGAGCAACUGAAGAAUGGCACUGCCAUCCACAGGGCUGGAGUGGCUUCCUUGGGAACUGGUUUGUGAAUGUGUGAAAACCAGGCUGAUACUUUAAGUGCUUUAUACUGAGGACAGGUGGGAAGUGACUUUUUAACUUUUAAAGAGAAUGAUAUGCAAUCUGCAGUCAACUCAAUCGUUUCAGAUCAAGUGGAAUUUCUACAGUGGAGAUGCACUAAAGAAUUAAAUAAAGGCUCCAAAGUGCACAAUCACUUUUAUAAUCAGG